AUGUUUGAUGUUCUAACGUGGACCCGUAAUCCGGGUUGCGGACAGUGUCUGGUGGGUAGUUUGACUGGGGCGGUCUCCUCCUAAAGAGUAACGGAGGAGCACGAAGGUUGGCUAAUCCUGGUCGGACAUCAGGAGGUUAGUGCAAUGGCAUAAGCCAGCUUGACUGCGAGCGUGACGGCGCGAGCAGGUGCGAAAGCAGGUCAUAGUGAUCCGGUGGUUCUGAAUGGAAGGGCCAUCGCUCAACGGAUAAAAGGUACUCCGGGGAUAACAGGCUGAUACCGCCCAAGAGUUCAUAUCGACGGCGGUGUUUGGCACCUCGAUGUCGGCUCAUCACAUCCUGGGGCUGAAGUAGGUCCCAAGGGUAUGGCUGUUCGCCAUUUAAAGUGGUACGCGAGCUGGGUUUAGAACGUCGUGAGACAGUUCGGUCCCUAUCUGCCGUGGGCGCUGGAGAACUGAGGGGGGCUGCUCCUAGUACGAGAGGACCGGAGUGGACGCAUCACUGGUGUUCGGGUUGUCAUGCCAAUGGCACUGCCCGGUAGCUAAAUGCGGAAGAGAUAAGUGCUGAAAGCAUCUAAGCACGAAACUUGCCCCGAGAUGAGUUCUCCCUGAGACUUAGAGUCUCCUGAAGGAACGUUGAAGACGAC
This 644-nucleotide ribosomal RNA is filed under the name Salmonella enterica. Its description in RNAcentral is "partial 23S ribosomal RNA". It matches the Rfam family "Bacterial large subunit ribosomal RNA", at positions 2210 to 2848 of the family's 2925-position model. Lineage: Bacteria; Pseudomonadati; Pseudomonadota; Gammaproteobacteria; Enterobacterales; Enterobacteriaceae. The record is from RNAcentral.